RNAcentral lists this ribosomal RNA (253 nucleotides) under uncultured bacterium. RNAcentral describes it as "partial 16S ribosomal RNA". It matches the Rfam family "Bacterial small subunit ribosomal RNA", at positions 524 to 776 of the family's 1533-position model. The record is from RNAcentral.
UACGAAGGGGGCUAGCGUUGCUCGGAAUCACUGGGCGUAAAGCGCACGUAGGCGGGUCGUUAAGUCGGGGGUGAAAUCCUGGAGCUCAACUCCAGAACUGCCUUCGAUACUGGCGAUCUUGAGUCUGGGAGAGGUGAGUGGAACUCCGAGUGUAGAGGUGAAGUUCGUAGAUAUUCGCAAGAACACCAGUGGCGAAGGCGGCUCACUGGCCCGAUACUGACGCUGAGGUGCGAAAGCGUGGGGAGCAAACAGG